Molecule: ribosomal RNA, 497 nt
Filed under: uncultured bacterium
Lineage: Bacteria
Description: partial 16S ribosomal RNA
Rfam family: Bacterial small subunit ribosomal RNA
Source: RNAcentral
GAUGAACGCUGGCGGCGUGCCUAAUACAUGCAAGUCGAGCGAACAGACGAGGAGCUUGCUCCUCUGACGUUAGCGGCGGACGGGUGAGUAACACGUGGAUAACCUACCUAUAAGACUGGGAUAACUUCGGGAAACCGGAGCUAAUACCGGAUAAUAUAUUGAACGGCAUGGUUCAAUAGUGAAAGACGGUUUUGCUGUCACUUAUAGAUGGAUCCGCGCCGCAUUAGCUAGUUGGUAAGGUAACGGCUUACCAAGGCAACGAUGCGUAGCCGACCUGAGAGGGUGAUCGGCCACACUGGAACUGAGACACGAUCCAGACUCCUACGGGAGGCAGCAGUAGGGAAUCUUCCGCAAUGGGCGAAAGCCUGACGGAGCAACGCCGCGUGAGUGAUGAAGGUCUUCGGAUCGUAAAACUCUGUUAUUAGGGAAGAACAAAUGUGUAAGUAACUAUGCACGUCUUGACGGUACCUAAUCAGAAAGCCACGGCUAACUACGUG